CUCCUUUGACGUUAGCGGCGGACGGGUGAGUAACACGUGGGUAACCUACCUAUAAGACUGGGAUAACUUCGGGAAACCGGAGCUAAUACCGGAUAAUAUUUCGAACCGCAUGGUUCGAUAGUGAAAGAUGGUUUUGCUAUCACUUAUAGAUGGACCCGCGCCGUAUUAGCUAGUUGGUAAGGUAACGGCUUACCAAGGCGACGAUACGUAGCCGACCUGAGAGGGUGAUCGGCCACACUGGAACUUAGACACGGUCCAGACUCCUACGGGAGGCAGCAGUC
This 281-nucleotide ribosomal RNA is filed under the name uncultured Staphylococcus sp. Its description in RNAcentral is "partial 16S ribosomal RNA". It matches the Rfam family "Bacterial small subunit ribosomal RNA", at positions 81 to 355 of the family's 1533-position model. Lineage: Bacteria; Bacillati; Bacillota; Bacilli; Caryophanales; Staphylococcaceae. The record is from RNAcentral.